This is a long non-coding RNA of Gambusia affinis (western mosquitofish), 675 nucleotides long. RefSeq lists it as uncharacterized. The record is from RefSeq and is a predicted model, not a curated record. The transcript is spliced from 3 exons. Lineage: Eukaryota; Metazoa; Chordata; Actinopteri; Cyprinodontiformes; Poeciliidae.
CUGUAUUUGAGCUGUAGAGAGUCUCUGGCACAGGCGGCCUCAGUCCAAUUCAACUCCACACAUGGUUUGCAGAACGGAGCCCACCUCGGAGGCAUAUAGACGAGCUUCUCAUCACUCCUAAUGUCUCAUCACCGUGUUGACUGGCGUGCCUGAGGACAGAAGACAGCGUGACAUAGACACUGGCGGACCCUCAAGUUGACCUCCGAGUGGUAUGGCAAUUCUGAGUGUUUCUUCGGAGGUCAUGACCCUUCCACACCAUGAGCAGGACAAACAGGACCGAGGAGCUACAACAACACAUGGAAUGUUCCCUUUGUUUUCUGCUACACCAAAAUUGUGAAAGAAAUCAAGAAAAUUCCCCUACUACUCUAAUAAAAUGUCUAUAUAUGUGUGUUAGAAUUUAGAAUUUUUGUGUUGUAAGAAAAGGUAAAAUCUCAAAAAAUAGUUUUCUUUAAACUCAGUAUGUUCUGCUGUUUCUCCCUGGAGUCGCUGUUUCACAAAGCGCUGGAAAUGUGAUUUAUUUUUAAGAUCUCACUUGAACAUAUAUUUGUUUUGUCAUCUGCAAUCACUUUGUCUGCAUUAUCCGUUCGUCCCUCACAAUAUAUUAUUACCCCGCAACUGGUUCAAUGUGGAACCGAUUGUUUCUGUGAAGCACAAACAUAAUAAAGUGUAUGAUUA